GACGAACCGUGCGAACGUUGUUCGGAAUCACUGGGCUUAAAGGGCGCGUAGGCGGACUGCCAAGUCCGGGGUGAAAUCUUUCGGCUCAACCGGAAAAUAGCCUCGGAGACUGGCGGUCUGGAGUGAGGUAGGGGCAGCUGGAACUUCCGGUGGAGCGGUGAAAUGCGCAGAUAUCAGGAGGAACACCAAUGGCGAAGGCAGCUCGCUGGAACGGUACUGACGCUGAGGCGCGAAAGCGUGGGGAGCAAACAGG
This 253-nucleotide ribosomal RNA is filed under the name uncultured bacterium. RNAcentral's name for it is "partial 16S ribosomal RNA". It matches the Rfam family "Bacterial small subunit ribosomal RNA", at positions 524 to 776 of the family's 1533-position model. The record is from RNAcentral.